UACGUAGGUGGCGAGCGUUAUCCGGAAUUAUUGGGCGUAAAGAGCUCGCAGGUGGUUGAUUAAGUCUGAUGUGAAAGCCCACGGCUUAGCCGUGGAGGGUCAUUGGAAACUGGUCGACUUGAGUGCAGAAGAGGGAAGUGGAAUUCCAUGUGUAGCGGUGAAAUGCGUAGAGAUAUGGAGGAACACCAGUGGCGAAGGCGGCUUCCUGGUCUGUAACUGACACUGAGGCGCGAAAGCGUGGGGAGCAAACAGGAUUAGA
This 259-nucleotide ribosomal RNA is filed under the name uncultured prokaryote. RNAcentral describes it as "partial 16S ribosomal RNA". It matches the Rfam family "Bacterial small subunit ribosomal RNA", at positions 524 to 782 of the family's 1533-position model. The record is from RNAcentral.